UACCACUGUAACAUAUUCCUUUAUUUGGUUAGUAACUAAAUACAUAACAAAAACAGCACUAGUGGUGGUAUUAUAUGUUACAGUGACUCAGGCUGAGAAAGUGAAUAUCUAUUGGAGCCUGCAGUAUGUUAUACAAGGCAAUUACAAAUAUAUGCAAAAACUGGAAUGGGGGGCGGUGUUAGCUCCAAGCCUUAAUAAAGCCUUUUGGCACCCAGCAUCUAACACAGAAUCAUUGAAUCAUAGAAUCCCAGACUGGUUUGUGUUGGAAAGGACCUUAAAGCUCAUCCAGUUCCAACCCCCUGCCAUGGGCAGGGACACCUUCCACUAGAGCAGGUUGCUCCAAACCCCGUCCAACCUGGCCUUGUGCACUGCCAGGGAUGGGGCAGCCACAGCUUCUCUGGGCAACCUGUGCCAGGGCCUCACCACCCUCACAGGGAAGAACUUCUUCCUAAGAUCUCAUCUCAACCUCCCCUCUGUCAGGUUGAAGCCAUUCCCCCUUGUCCUGUCCCUACUUGCUCUUGUAAAAGGUUUUAUAUAAAAUUUUAUAUUAAACAAAAAAAAAAUUUAUAUAACCAUCUACCUCAGCUGCUCUAGACAUAUGUGAUUUCUAUCCAUUUUGAUCUUACUCUUUCAUAAGUGUCAUAUAAAGAAUAGACUUUGAAUUCUUUUUUAUCAAUUGUCUGGUUUGUAUUUGUCAAAAUCAUAUAUUGGCACUUAGUUAUAGUUUGUGAGAAGUAUCUGAGCUUUUAGCCAUUGUAUUUAACAACUGUGAAACAUGAAGUCACAAAGGAAGACUAUUGUACCCAUAUCCAUGCGCAAGGAAAGGUUCAGGAUGAAAAUAAGCUUCAUUACAACAAUCCGUAGGAAAUGAGUGAUUAUUUGGUUUUCAAGUAUUUAGGGCUUUAUUUUCAUUGUACUUGACUUCUGAAUGCCUGCUGCCGAAUACCAGAUAUGUUUUCAUGUCUAUAGGUUUGUCUGAAAAUUCAGGCAAAACAGAAAAAAACCCCAAUGUUUUGGGAUGAGUAAUCAGAGGCAAAGCAGGAGAAGGGCUGUUUGGGAAGCAAGGCCAGGCAGAAGAAACAAGACCCCCAUUCUUCACCACAGUCACAACAGCUUUGAAAGGGUUGGCUGGCAUUGAAAUGGCUGCUUGCUGUUAAAGUAUAUCCCAAACUUGGUGCUUUACUCUCAGUAGCAGCACAGCUCUGGCACUGAGAGGGGCCUGUAAUGCUCUGUAGAGCUAAUAUCUCUUAAUCUAAAUACAGGUCUCCCUUCAUGGCUUUUUUUCCUAGUGGUUUCGGGUGAAAGCAGGAGUAGGUGGAAGGAAGGGAGGACUGGGGGGGGCAGAUAUACUCUUCAUGUUGUGCUCCAUGAAGGAAUCUCACAUCCACCAAGACAUGAAUCUACAGACUCACCUCUUUCUGGGGCAGGAUUGGGCCAGGGAGGUGUUGUAAAGUAGCAGUUUUUCAUUGUGAGCCACCCCUGACACUGCUUUCCUAAAUCUAGUUGUGCCCUGGUGUCGUGGUUUGAGCCCAACCGGUAACUCAGAACCACGCAGCCGCUCGCUCACUCCCCACCUCUUCCUCAUCCCACUCCCGGAGGGAUGGGGAGGAGAAUCAGAAGAAUGUAACUCCCACAGGUUGAGAUAAGAGCAGUCCCGCAACUAAGGUAUAAUACAAAACCACUACUGCUGCCACCAAUGAUAAUAACAAUAAGGGAAAUAACAAGGGGAGAGGAUACAAUUGCUCACCACCCGCCGACCGAUACCCAGCCCGAUCCGAGCAGUGAUCUGGGCCUUCCAGGUAACUCCACCAGUUUAUAUACUGGGCAUGAUGUGCUGUGGUAUGGAAUACCCCUUUGGCUAGUUUGGGUCAGGUGUCCUGUCUCUGCUUCCUCCCGGCUUCCCCUCCUCCCUGGCAAAGCAUGAGACUGAGAAAGUUCUUGGUCAGAGUAAACAUUACUUAGCAACAACUAAAAACAUCGGUGUUAUCAGUGUUGUUUCCAGGCUGAAAGUUAAAAAACACAGCACUGCACCGGCUAUUAAGAAUUAGAAAAA
RNAcentral lists this long non-coding RNA (2053 nucleotides) under Strigops habroptila (Kakapo). Its description in RNAcentral is "lncRNA (ENSSHBG00005003566.1)". The record is from RNAcentral. Lineage: Eukaryota; Metazoa; Chordata; Aves; Psittaciformes; Psittacidae.